GUAAAUAAUAGGGCUUACAGAAAAG
This 25-nucleotide non-coding RNA is filed under the name Cricetulus griseus (Chinese hamster). Lineage: Eukaryota; Metazoa; Chordata; Mammalia; Rodentia; Cricetidae. The record is from RNAcentral.